This 401-nucleotide ribosomal RNA is filed under the name uncultured eukaryote. RNAcentral's name for it is "SSU rRNA". It matches the Rfam family "Eukaryotic small subunit ribosomal RNA", at positions 587 to 988 of the family's 1831-position model. The record is from RNAcentral.
AGCUCCAAUAGCGUAUACUAACGUUGUUGCAGUUAAAAAGCUCGUAGUUGGAUUUCUGUAGAGCGUUCGAUUCGUGUACCUCCUAGGUUCCGAUAUUGUUCGUUUUGCAACAUUUGAUUGAUUAUGGCUUGGUGACUUUAUUGCCAUCAACCGUGUUCAGUCUCGUUUACUUUGAGAAAAUUAGAGUGUUCAAAGCAGGCUUAUUGCCUUGAAUAUGUUAGCAUGGAAUAAUAGCAUAGGACUUCUGUCCUAAUUGUUGGUUGUUCGUACAGAAGUAAUGAUUGAUAGGGACGGUUGGGGGCAUCCGUAUUCUCAAGCGAGAGGUGAAAUUCUUGGACCUUGGGAAGACGAACAGCUGCGAAAGCGUUUGCCUAGGACGUUCUCUUUAAUCAAGAACGAAA